CGCCUCUUGCCAAACCAAAAGUAUAAGAGGUCCCGCCUGCCCUGUGACUAUAUGUUUAACGGCCGCGGUAUUUUGACCGUGCGAAGGUAGCGCAAUCACUUGUCUUUUAAAUGGAGACCUGUAUGAAUGGCAUAACGAGGGCUUGACUGUCUCCUCUUUCAAGUCAAUGAAAUUGAUCUCCCCGUGAAGAAGCGGGGAUAGGCACAUAAGACGAGAAGACCCUAUGGAGCUUUAGACACCAAGGCAGAUUAUGGUUCCUAGUCCUAACUAAAAGGACAUAAAUUGAUUAAACCCUGCCCCUAUGUCUUUGGUUGGGGCGACCGCGGAGAAACAAAAAACCCCCGCAUGGACCGAACGUAUAACGUUUACAACUAAGAGCCACAGCUCUAAUUAACAGAACUUCUGACCAACUAGAUCCGGCAACGCCGAUCAAUGAACCGAGUUACCCUAGGGAUAACAGCGCAAUCUCCUCUUAGAGUCCAUAUCGACGAGGGGGUUUACGACCUCGAUGUUGGAUCAGGACAUCCUAAUGGUGCAGCCGCUAUUAAGGGUUCGUUUGUUCAACGAUUAAAGUCCU
RNAcentral lists this ribosomal RNA (577 nucleotides) under Cephalopholis spiloparaea (strawberry hind). RNAcentral's name for it is "partial 16S ribosomal RNA". It matches the Rfam family "Bacterial large subunit ribosomal RNA", at positions 1816 to 2597 of the family's 2925-position model. Lineage: Eukaryota; Metazoa; Chordata; Actinopteri; Perciformes; Serranidae. The record is from RNAcentral.